GACGUAGGGGGCCAGCGUUGUUCGGAAUUACUGGGUGUAAAGGGUUCGUAGGCGGUGUGGCAAGUCGGGUGUGAAAUCUCGGAGCUUAACUCCGAAACUGCAUUCGAUACUGCCGUGCUUGAGGACUGGAGAGGAGACUGGAAUUUACGGUGUAGCGGUGAAAUGCGUAGAUAUCGUAAGGAAGACCAGUGGCGAAGGCGGGUCUCUGGACAGUUCCUGACGCUGAGGCACGAAGGUCAGGGGAGCAAACGGG
Molecule: ribosomal RNA, 253 nt
Filed under: uncultured bacterium
Lineage: Bacteria
Description: partial 16S ribosomal RNA
Rfam family: Bacterial small subunit ribosomal RNA
Source: RNAcentral